GUUUGUAGCUCAGUGGUAAAGCACUUGCCUAGUAUGUGUGAGGCACUGGGUUCAAUCCUCAGCACCACA
RNAcentral lists this transfer RNA (69 nucleotides) under Marmota monax (woodchuck). RNAcentral's name for it is "tRNA.Thr". Lineage: Eukaryota; Metazoa; Chordata; Mammalia; Rodentia; Sciuridae. The record is from RNAcentral.